GUGAUUCUAGUCUAAUGGUUUAGGACCCCCGCCUUUGAGCGGAGGUCCCGAGUUCAAUUCUCUAGGUGCACC
This 72-nucleotide transfer RNA is filed under the name Pavlovales sp. CCMP2436. Its description in RNAcentral is "tRNA-OTHER". Lineage: Eukaryota; Haptophyta; Pavlovophyceae; Pavlovales. The record is from RNAcentral.